Molecule: ribosomal RNA, 373 nt
Filed under: uncultured Glomeromycotina
Lineage: Eukaryota; Fungi; Glomeromycota
Description: LSU rRNA
Source: RNAcentral
UUGAAAGGGAAACGAUUGAAGUCAGUCGUACCGGCGGGUAAUCAGCCUUUUGGGUGUGAUUAUGUGGAGCGUGAGGAGCUAAUCGCCUUCAUCUUUGCAUAUUCGUGCACUUUGGGUGUACUUGCUCGUGUGGUAGGUUAACAUCAAUUUUGAUCAUCAUAAAAUGAUUGAAGGAAUGUAGCUUCGAUCUCGUAUUGAAGUGUUAUAGCCUUUGGUAGAUGUGAUGAUCGGGAUUGAGGAUUGCAACGGAUACCCUUCGGGGCUACCCGUCUGAUCUCUGAAAGUUGCUCUGGUGCUGAAAGCUUGCUUAUGGUAUCAAAGUUGACGUUCAAUAGGUUAGAACGGGAUAAAUUCGUUAAGGAAUGUUGACGUA